Long non-coding RNA from Bufo bufo (common toad), 148 nucleotides. RefSeq lists it as uncharacterized. The transcript has 4 exons. The record is from RefSeq and is a predicted model, not a curated record. Lineage: Eukaryota; Metazoa; Chordata; Amphibia; Anura; Bufonidae.
AACCAAAGUUGAUAUGAUGCUAGUUUCAUAGGCACCCCUGAGGAAGCCAGCAGGGCCUGGCGAUACGCGUUGGGCUUGUUUCCUGACCACCACGCAUACCCCCACUACGUCAUCUUUAAUGAUAAGUAUUAUAGCUCUCCAAUAAUUU